GUGGUUUUAACUUCAGCCAUAAGGACAACCAACCCAAAACGAUAGCCACAAAAGAAACACAGAAUCAUAAAACAGUACCCGGCGUGAAUAGUACCGAUGAACAGUACCACGUGAACAGUACCCGUGAACAAUGCCGAUGAACAGUACCCCUGAAUAUGAAUAGAACCUAAAACACCUCCACCCAACACCUGAACGGCAAACAAACCUCAGAUCUGACAAGAGGACGGUGUGGCGACUCUAUCGACGGUGAGAUCCAAAUGUUAGCCUUUAUGAGUAACCCAAAUG
This 285-nucleotide long non-coding RNA is filed under the name Manihot esculenta (cassava). Its description in RNAcentral is "long non-coding RNA (MESC_LNC013119)". Lineage: Eukaryota; Viridiplantae; Streptophyta; Magnoliopsida; Malpighiales; Euphorbiaceae. The record is from RNAcentral.